This is an RNA transcript of Homo sapiens (human), 11826 nucleotides long. It is a transcript of the gene named phosphoglucomutase 3, with no coding region annotated. The transcript has 15 exons. The record is from RefSeq and is marked reviewed. NCBI's taxonomy places the organism in Eukaryota, Metazoa, Chordata, Mammalia, Primates, Hominidae.
GCGGUUCUGAGGACUGGGUUUGGGUGCAGACGUUGUUGCUUGGGCGCUUCUCCGCUGCGUGUAGGUGAAGGGGGCUUCCUGACCGAGACAUGGAUUUAGGUGCUAUUACAAAAUACUCAGCAUUACACGCCAAGCCCAAUGGACUGAUCCUUCAAUACGGGACUGCUGGAUUUCGAACGAAGGCAGAACAUCUUGAUCAUGUCAUGUUUCGCAUGGGAUUAUUAGCUGUCCUGAGGUCAAAACAGACAAAAUCCACUAUAGGAGUCAUGGUAACAGCGUCCCACAAUCCUGAGGAAGACAAUGGUGUAAAAUUGGUUGAUCCUUUGGGUGAAAUGUUGGCACCAUCCUGGGAGGAACAUGCCACCUGUUUAGCAAAUGCUGAGGAACAAGAUAUGCAGAGAGUGCUUAUUGACAUCAGCGAGAAAGAAGCUGUGAAUCUGCAACAAGAUGCCUUUGUAGUUAUUGGUAGAGAUACCAGGCCCAGCAGUGAGAAACUUUCACAAUCUGUAAUAGAUGGUGUGACUGUUCUAGGAGGUCAAUUCCAUGAUUAUGGCUUGUUAACAACACCCCAGCUGCACUACAUGGUGUAUUGUCGAAACACGGGUGGCCGAUAUGGAAAGGCAACUAUAGAAGGUUACUACCAGAAACUCUCUAAGGCUUUUGUGGAACUCACCAAACAGGCUUCUUGCAGUGGAGAUGAAUACAGAUCACUUAAGGUUGACUGUGCAAAUGGCAUAGGGGCCCUGAAGCUAAGGGAAAUGGAACACUACUUCUCACAGGGCCUGUCAGUUCAGCUGUUUAAUGAUGGGUCCAAGGGCAAACUCAAUCAUUUAUGUGGAGCUGACUUUGUGAAAAGUCAUCAGAAACCUCCACAGGGAAUGGAAAUUAAGUCCAAUGAAAGAUGCUGUUCUUUUGAUGGAGAUGCAGACAGAAUUGUUUAUUACUACCAUGAUGCAGAUGGCCACUUUCAUCUCAUAGAUGGAGACAAGAUAGCAACGUUAAUUAGCAGUUUCCUUAAAGAGCUCCUGGUGGAGAUUGGAGAAAGUUUGAAUAUUGGUGUUGUACAAACUGCAUAUGCAAAUGGAAGUUCAACACGGUAUCUUGAAGAAGUUAUGAAGGUACCUGUCUAUUGCACUAAGACUGGUGUAAAACAUUUGCACCACAAGGCUCAAGAGUUUGACAUUGGAGUUUAUUUUGAAGCAAAUGGGCAUGGCACUGCACUGUUUAGUACAGCUGUUGAAAUGAAGAUAAAACAAUCAGCAGAACAACUGGAAGAUAAGAAAAGAAAAGCUGCUAAGAUGCUUGAAAACAUUAUUGACUUGUUUAACCAGGCAGCUGGUGAUGCUAUUUCUGACAUGCUGGUGAUUGAAGCAAUCUUGGCUCUGAAGGGCUUGACUGUACAACAGUGGGAUGCUCUCUAUACAGAUCUUCCAAACAGACAACUUAAAGUUCAGGUUGCAGACAGGAGAGUUAUUAGCACUACCGAUGCUGAAAGACAAGCAGUUACACCCCCAGGAUUACAGGAGGCAAUCAAUGACCUGGUGAAGAAGUACAAGCUUUCUCGAGCUUUUGUCCGGCCCUCUGGUACAGAAGAUGUCGUCCGAGUAUAUGCAGAAGCAGACUCACAAGAAAGUGCAGAUCACCUUGCACAUGAAGUGAGCUUGGCAGUAUUUCAGCUGGCUGGAGGAAUUGGAGAAAGGCCCCAACCAGGUUUCUGAAGAUAAUUUUCAUAUUCCUGAGAAACUGGACUUUUUACAAGUCUUUACAAAACUGUCAAUAAUAAUGGCAGUACUAAGAGAUUUAUAAUCAUAAUGUUUACAAUGCAGCCUACUGGAUUGUCUCUAGAUCUGUUUUUCUUAAACACUAACAGAAUAAUUCUUUAUAAAUAGGUAAGCCUUACACUUGUUAAAGAAAUUUACCUCUAAUUUCAGUCUCACUAAUGUAAAAUACUGGGACUUAAGUAUACAAUUCAGUCACUAACUGUACAGUUUUAUGUGGGGAACAAUUCAUGCAGGCUACUGGAAAAUUAAAUCUUAUUACCAACUCCUUGUGAUAUCUUUGCCAUCACCAUCACAUGAGCAAGAUGAUGUUUUGCAGCAUUCCCCAUUGCUGAUACAAAUGGAGAGGGCAGAGAAGACUUUAUACAACCAGUUUUUCCAUUGCAGAGUCUUAAGAAAGAUUAUUAGAUGACUUACCUAUAUGACUAAUGCCAUCAGGAACUCAGAGGUAUGAAUAGGGGGUUGUCCAUCCCUCUUCCAUACUGAGGUGGAGAUGCUCAUGCAAUACUUUUAAGGAUGCAUGGUCCAGCCUUCAGUUAUUCUUCACUGCUCUUGGUGAAGGUAUGUGGGAGAAAAACUAAUUAUAAUACGUUUCCCAGCCUCUGAUGGAGAAGGAACACCAUUCUGAUACCAGAACAUGGUUAAUAAGGAAAAGAGAAAAAUCCCCAACCAAUCUUAAUUGAACCAAGUCUGAAACCAAUGGAAAAAAAAAAUGGGUAGUGUAUAUUUUGCAGGUUUAAGACAACUCAGGACAAUAAAAACAAUGGACUUUACAUGUGUAUAUAUAUAGCUCUCUUAGGCACCAUAAUCAGUAUGAGCCAACAAUAUUUAAACUUGAUUCAGGCCACAUUCAGACAUUUGCUCUUAUAUACAAAUAUUUAAAUUAAAUACAAUCUGAAAUGUGUUCUGUUACAUACAAAAAAGGAAAAACUAUACAACGCAGAGCAGUGUGUGUGUUUUAAAUAAUUACAUUUACAUGUAAGCUAAAUGGAACCAGCAAUGGUGCUCAAGUUUUUAUCAUCCCUUCCAGAAAAUCUUUUUCUACCAUCUCUUCUAUUUUUUGCCUGGCUUUGCUGGAACAUGGUUUGUGGUUCUCCAGUUUCAUGUCCUUAUUAGGGAAGGCAUUUGAGUAGAGGAUAGGACUCCCUGAGUGUCCUCCACAUCGGCUUGUGACUUUGCUGUUGAAGACUUGACUGAGCACAUUGAAGAACGGCAGGAGCUGCUCCAUACUGCGCACGGUGCAGAUGGUGAGCAGCAAGUGCCCUGGCUCCCAACCCAAUGUUCUCCCUGAGUUGUCUUCCUCUGGAUUUUUCUGCAGAAAACAAAAAGUGAACUGGUAUUAAUACAACAGACAAUGUGGUAUGUUAGAAAAAUUAAAAAUAUAUAAACUUUGGCAAUUGGUCAAGAAAUGAAUACAAAUGACAUUAAGUUUCUAACUCCUGACCUGAUCAAAACCCUUGGUGCUUCUGAGACCUUUUACUGCCAUUUAUUAGUUUUACAUGGAGCAGUCUAACAUUGUAGUAAUAGUUCCCAACUAGAAUGCGCAGAUAAGCUUAGUUAACAGAAAUAGCUUUGAACAGGAAUAGAGUCAAACAUAAAAGUUUUAUGUUGUGCUUUGUAUUUACUCAAAAAGCUCCCAGGUUUCUGAACCCUCACUACUGUAACCAAGGACUAGGUCACAAAAUUACUACAGAAAAAAGGAACAAAGUGCUUUAUACAUUUCAUAAUAUAUCCCCUUUUAUUAUAAUUAGUUAAUUCCCUUUUAUCUAAAUGGCCUAAAUUUGCCAUGAUGGUAGCAGUGUCCAAAGUGAAUAAUUACUGUCAGUACUGCAUCACAGAGAAAGGAAGGGAUCCCUCAGGAGACACUGCUGUCUCCUUCUGGGUUGUGCUAAACAACAUAGGGAGGAAAGCUGGACCUGGAGUCAAAGGAAUUGAGUUAGUGUGCUGGCUCUGCCAUACUUACGGCACCCUUGGGCAGGAUAUACAAAGGUUCCUCACUUAUAAAAUGGGACAGUCUAAAACUACCUUUUAGUAGAGAAGUCAAAUGAGAAGGUAUGUGAAAACUCUGUCAACUAAAUAUAAAGACUAAUAAUUUGGGUAUUAAGAGGCUAGUUUGAGAAGCCACCUGAAUUACACAAACACAGCUACAGACAUCAUUCUGUCUAGAGAAAGAUAAGAGAGAACAGGUUGGUUGAACUUGGGCAGAAUCACAGAUACAAUUCCACACUAAAGAAUGAAAAUAAGCAAUGAACUAGACAGAAGGAAGAAAUCAUGAAGACUUAGGAAGCAGAAUUACAAUCUGUCAUAUUAACAAAUGGAGUUUGCCUUCUAAGAUCAGAUGUUGCUCAGAAACUUUCAUUGUUUACCUAAUAAUUUAAUAUCACUAGUUUCCUAGUGGGUCAAGCAGAUGCAAAAUCCAGCUUAUUUUCUUCUAUGUGCUCUCAAGCUUAUUGCUUAUUUUAAAGUAAAAUCCUGAAAAAGGAAAAUAUUAGGUUGGUGCAAACGUAAUUGCGGUUUUUGCAUUGUUGAAAUUUGCCGUUUUAUAUUGGAGUACAUUCUUAAAUAAAUGUGGUUAUGUUAUACAUCAUUUUAAGCAUAUUUCUCACUUUUUUUUUGCUAAUGACUUAUUGCUGUUUAUAUUUAUUUUAGACUAUGGAAAUGAUGUUAGACAAAAAUCAAAUUUAGCGAUUUUCUGAGUUCAAAAUAGGUUAUAAAGCAGCAGAGACAACACACAACAUCAACAAUGCAUUUGGCCCAGGAACUGCUAAUGAACAUACAGUGCCGUGAUGGCUCAAGAAGUUUUGCAAAGGAGACUAGAGCCUUGAAGAUGAGGAGUGCAGUGGCCAGUCAUCGGAAAUUGAUAAUGACCAAUUGAGAACAUCAUCGAAGCUGAUCCUCUUACAACUAUAAGAGAGCUGCCCAAGAACUCAAUGUUGACCAUUUUAUGGUCGUUCGGCAUUUGAAGCAAAUUGAAAAGGUGAAAAAGCUCAAUAAAUGGGUGCCUCAUGAGCUGAGUGAAAAAUAAAAAAAUUCGUUGUUUUGAAGUGUCAUUUUCUCUAUUCUAUGCAACAAUAAUGAAUCAUUUCUCUAUCGGAUUGUGAUGUGUGCCAAAAGGUGGAUUUUAUACGACAACUGGCGAUGACCAGCUCAGUGGCUGGACUGAAAGAAGCUCCAAAGCACUUCCCAAAGCCAAACUUGCUCCAAAAAAUGGUCAUGGUCAUUGUUUGGUGGUUUGCUGCCAGUCUGAUCCACUACAGCUUUCUGAAUCCAGGUGAAACCAUUACAUCUGAUAAGUAUGCUCAGCAAAUCAAUGAGAUGCACCAAAAACUGCAAUGCCUGCAGCCGGCAUUGGCCACCAGAAAGGGCCCAAUUCUUUUCACGACAACACUGGGCCGCACGUUGCACAACCAACGCUUCGAAAAUUGAACUAAUUGGGCUAUGAAGUUUUGCCUCAUCUGCCAUAUUCACCUGACCUCUUGCCAACAAACUACCACUUCUUUAGGCAUCUCAGCAACGUUUUGCAGGGAAAUUGCUUCCACAACUAGCAGGACACAGAAAAUGCUUUCCAAGAGUUCGUCAAAUUUGGAAGCAUGGAUUUUUAUGCUACAGGAGUAAACAAACUUAUUUCUCAUUGGCAAAAAUGUGUUGAUUGUAAUGGUUCCUAUUUUAAUUAAUAAAGAUUUGUGUGAACCUAGUUAUAAUGACUUAAAAUUCAUGGUCCCAAACAGCAAUUACUUUUGCACCAAACUAAAAAUAUAAGUUAAAAUGGAAGAGUCUAGGAGCAAACCAAGAAAAGAUCACCUACUUCAUCAUCUCUGGUCAAAAACAAACCAAAAAACUUAACAGCUAUCACUUAAGUUUGCUUCCUAGCAAUUAUUUAGCUUCCAGUCUAGAUUACAGGAUAUAUAAAACUUUCUUUCUUUCUUUCUUAACUAUGACACUGGCACCAAUGAGAGUCCUGUGACUGACUUUCACAUUUCCACCAUUACUCAAUUACUGGUACCAUACCACCUCUAAUCCCCUAAAUCAAACUGCAAUUCAACAAUAAAGGGCGUACAGAGAUGACUUUGUCCUGAAGGAAAAUGAAUAUCCUUGUACCCUCUAUAUAGCUAACUUCCAAAUGUAAGAGAACUAUGGGGUAACCUUUUGUUUCUAUUCCUAUCAAGAUGAGCCUUUAAGAGAGGGACUUUUAUUAAGCUCUUGACCAAGAAGAAUACACUUGAUUCAGAGUUUCUGAUGCUCUUAAUCAGAACUAUAUGUAUUGUCUCAAUAUUAAAUAAAGUCAAAUGUUUCCAUACAAAUGAUUUCUCCUUUGACUUCACCAGUCCACACUUGAAAAAAGACUUCCUUCCUGUUUACCUCCCUUGUACUUGUUGACAUUCAGACCUGGGUUUGUGUCUCAAUAUUUGGCAACUUUUGCUGCCAUAUCAUAAGCAUGAAACAGCCACCCUCACCUGAUGCUUGGCCAUCUCCAAUCCCUCCAAAAUCACUGUCUUAAAGUCCUCCUCCUUGUCCUGUGGAAGGAAAGAGGAGAACUCACAGCCUUUGUUCCAGUGAAAAGUAUGCUUGGCCAUGAAGACCUUGUUUAAGGUGAUUUGGAUGGGAAGAUGCCUUUCAAUCAAAAUAGUUUUCUUAUUCUGUGGGACAAAUUUUGGGCAAAAGACUGUCAUAUUUAUUAUUUAGAUAAAGGAGGGGGGUCUUAUAAAAAUUCUCAUUACUAAUGAAAGGCAGGCAUAACAGAAAAGGACAUGUGCCUGGGGUCAUAUUUGCUUCUGGAUUUGUCAUGAUUACUUGCCCAAACUCUGAGAUAUCAAAUUGAAAGUACCAAAGUCCUACCCUGAACUCAGGACCCAGCAUACAUCCUCAUCUCUGUCCUUUUAUUAAGCCCCUACAGAAGCAACUAGGAAUUUAAGUCAAGUUUUCUCAUGUAAAUUCCUUCCAGCAAAAUCUCUUUAAUCACUUUCUUCAUUCCAUUUUUAUAGUUAUGGAAUUCAGUUUAAGAGCUGCUGCCUGAUUAGGAGGACUCCAGAAGACUGGAAAAUUUCUGAGCACUCAAAGCACACACUGCAUACUAGAUCUCACCAGACAACCUAGAUCACUCCCAAAUUGUACAAUUUGAUUUUGAAAUUUGUUGAAUGUAAAAGAAAAUUUGACAAAAGGUUAAUAACAAAGGCCCAAUGGUGAGCAUACCAGUUUCAUUGCUGGUAGGUUCUUGGGCAAAGAUCUGUAAUAAAUUAGCAUGAUGCAUACUGAAAGAUAAAAAGUAUAUAAGACAAUAUUUUACAAAUUUUAUUUUCCUACACUUUUUAAUGGUAUAUGUUUUAAGUAAAUUCCCACUUUUCCCCUUAAAUAAUUUCUCUAAGAAGAUGCUUUAUAUUAAAGAGUCAUAAAGCCAGUUUAACUCUGAGCACUGUUUUAAAAACUGCAGGUUGUGGGGGUCUUGCAAUCUGUACUCAGCAUCAUCACUGUGAACUACAAAAAGGAAAAUAUCUCAUGUUAAGGGCAAGAACUGUUUUGUGAAACUUUAGAUUCGGUUAUAUAGCUGUACUGGAUCAGGAUAAGGAACACAUUUCUGAAUGUAGGUUAUAAUCAGAAAGUGAAAAAUACUUAGAAAAUGAAUUUUAGCAUAUAUAUUUUAUUUCAUAUAGAUAAACAGAAUGAAUGCUAAUGAUUAUUUCCUUUAUUCUGAUCGAGGUCUAGCUCAUUCAAUUUCAAUGAAAUCUGACUCAUAUUUUACAAAUUUAAAAUGUAUAAUCUUCUUACCCAUUGAUUAGUUCUGUUGAAACAACUCUGACAGGUUCUAAAAAUCCCUUUUGUACUGUAUUUUUUUCAAUCAACUCAUACUUUUGUUUGUCAUCAUGGCAUUAAGAUGAACAUUAUAUUACAUUCUCAAGUUUUUGACACGAAGAGUGUUCAGGACUACAGUCUUAAAUACUCACAUGUAUGGUUCCAAGGUUUUUAUUUUCUUUUUUGAGGGGAAAACAUUUUAAGGUAGAUGUUAUUAAUGUACAAAAGCCUUCCUUUUUCUUCUUUAAAAAAAUGAAUAACCGCAUAUUCCUUUAAAAUACAUACGAUAUGUUUUCUAAUGUCUGGAAAUAUGAGGCUUAUGGACAUUAACUCUCAAAACUGGGGACUUGUUUUCAAAAUAGCUCAACUUGAUAACGUUCUCAGUUUCCCAGGAAGUAUUUAAUAAAUACCUCACUAAUGCAACAUGUAGUGAUGUAAAACAAAACAAUCACAAAAGAAUGCGAUACCUUUGCUCUUUUCCGAAGAAGUUUUGCUAGUCGUACCACGUAAGGUUUAAAUUCUCGUUGAUGUAUACCCUGCCUUCUGACUUCCAAACCUGAAUCAUCUGAGGCUUCUGGAAUAAAGGCCCAUCGGUACCUAUGUAUAGAAUAAUGACAUCAGCAUCAGUAAGACAGACUUUGUGCCAUCUAAGAUUAGGCCACAUAAUGUAGUAGAAAGAUCAUGACCCCACUGCUUAUAAAAAUUCAAAUGCCAGAUGUGCCACUCGUAGCCUUGUCACUUUGGGUAUGUUUCUUAACCUCUCUGAGCCUUCAUCAGUAAAUAAAGAUACUAUUAACUACCUCAUAAGGUUGUAAGGAAUAAAUAUGAAAACUUGUAAAGUACUCAUCAUUACUUUUUUCAUGAGUCCAAAGCAAGUACUCAACAAAUGUUUCUUUUCUCAUUAGCGAACAGGCAUAAGGUUCUUAAAAGGAAGAUGUUUUCAUUUAGCUUAUCUCUUUGUACUGCAACAUAACAGUCUGACAAAGACUUGAUUUUUCAACAUAUAACUGGCCAAAUGUUCCCUAGUUGCAUAGUAAAGGAGUAAAAAAUUGAACGAAUUUAAGAAAACUAAGGGCUUUUUUUGCACUUCUCUUGUAUUUUUGUUUGUAAUUUUGUCUUUCAUAAGUAAGUAAAAGUAAUAUCCGACCAUGGGAAAAAUUCAAACAGUAUAAAUGGGCAUACCAAAGAAAGGCAGUCUCCCCUCCCCGCAUAGGAUUCAUCAAUGUUGUCAGCUUCGUAAGUCCGUCCAGAGAGUUUAUGCCCAAAAGAGUAUAUAUUCACACAACCAACCCUCUCUUUUAAAAAAACAUGAUUGCUGCCUGUUUUAAUUAUACAUGUAGGAUAUAUAUUUUUGAUAUAAUUUAUUUGAUAUAAAUUACAUAUCUUGGAGACAAUUCUGCAUCAUAUAAAACUUCAUUCUUUUUAACAGCAACAUAGUAGUACACCACAGCCAAUGUCCUAGAUUGUCCAACUUCUUGCACUUACAAAGUACCACAGUGGAUACUCUUAAGUAAUGCUUAUUUAUUUUUGUGCACAUCUGAGAAUAUAGAGACAGGAUAAAUCCUUGGAUGUAGCAGAAUUAUAGGCUUAAAGAUAUAUAUUUUAAAUUUUGGUAAAUAUAACCUCUGAACAAUUGGACAAUAUCAGUGUAUACUUCCAACAAGAAUAAGAAUGCUUCUGUUACUAAAAGUAAAAGGAAAGCAACUUUCAGAUCUUUACCAUUCUGAUGGUUAUCUAUAAUUUUAAUCGGAAACUCAGGAGAACAACUGAGCAGUUUUUCCUAUGUUUAGAAACCAUCCUAUAAAUUAUUAACUGUCUUGCUCAUUGGCUCAUUUUUCUACCAGGUUAUUUUUAUACAUUAUGCAUUUUAGACUUUUGUCAUAUACAUCGAAAAUAUCUUUUACCAAUUCAUUGCUAUCUUUCGAACUUUAUAGUACCUUUUAGUUACAUGGAUACUUUUAAAUUUAUAUACAGUAAACUUAUCAAGUAUUUUGAACUUUCCAAAUAUGGAUCAUGCUAAGAUAUUACUCUUUCAAGAUAAUUAAAAUCUUUACACUUUCUACUUUAUAGAUUUUUAUUUUUAGAAAGAUGUAAGUUUUUAAAAAACUAAUUAAUAUAACGGCAUGUUUCCUUCCCUUUUGUAGUAACUAACAUCUUGACAAAGAGGAUAAACUGAUUUUGGUUCUUGUCAUGGAAGAUAAAAAGUCAGUAUCAUGAGCAUACUAUUUCAUGUCCCUCCAAAAGCACCACAGAAUAGUUAUCACUUUUGUGAAGGGGAGUAGCUGAUUUCAUCAGACUGUGAGGUGCAUCAUGCUGAAUACAAAUAAGAGGGCAACUUACUGAUUAACACAAGAGGCAUCCAUCUGAAAGAAACUGGGAUCCAUAAAGAGGUCAAAAGCUUCUUUUUUCCAAGCUCUCCGUGUGUACUGAUACCCACUAAGACUGCUGAGCAGCUGGACACAAGCUCGAUAACUAGGGGCAUUAUGUGCACUACAAGGAAGAAAAACCACCUUAACCUACGUGUCCUAACUUUAAUCAUCCUAUCAAGUUAUACAUAAAUGUUCACAUUUACCUAAGACAGUGACAUGAAGAUAUGAAAUAGAAAGCACCAUAAGAAAAAUAAUAUAUGAAUUUUUUUAAACAAUUAUAAUUCAAGGUAAAAAUGCCAUUUUAUGAUAAUUCUAGAAAUGGCAAUAAGGGAACAGAACUUGUUUCUAACAGGCUAUGAAUUAAUUUUAAAAACUAUUUAAAUAAUGAUAGUACCUGUGAUUUCUGAGGUAGGGCACAACAUAAUGCAUAAUAUUUACAAGUAAAGGAAUAACCCGCUCCUUUUCAUCACUAUAGAAAACCAUAUCCAAAAGAUGAGCCAAAACCUAUGAAAACAUAAAAAAUGAAGAGUAACAUAUGAGGUGAAACUGACAUCAUCCCAAGAUAAUAAACCUAAAUGUUUGACAAGAAUACCUUCAACAUCAGAUUCCAAAUUGGUUCCAUCUACCAUUAUUUUGGGAGAAGGCUUAACUUCAAGAUUUCGUCGCAGCCAUGUUGUCUGUUCCAGAGAAGAACCAGCAAUUGCACCAAUUGCAUCCACUAUUUUGUGAGUUACAUCCUAAAAAAAUAAGGAAGAACAACUAUGUAUGGUACACACAUGCACACUAGUUAUGAACUUCUGUAGUUUAUAUUUCUGAUAAUAGAUAUUUUACAAUAGACUUGUUGAUUCCCAUAGAAUGUUCAGAGUUGAAAGAAACUUCAGUUUAUUUUAUUUGACUCUCUCAUUUUCAAAUUGAGGGCACUGAGAAACAGUUUUGGCAACAGCUCUUAGACUGCCUUACCUGAAGGUCUCUUUGGUCUUUUUUAUUUUCCAAACUAGGGUUUUUCAUAAUAAACUCAUUCAGAACCCUAAAAGGGCCAAAGAGAAAACAGAAACGGGAAAUAUCAGGCUAAAAGAAACUAAUGCGAUCUAAUUUCUCACGAUGAGUUAAGCGGCUUAAUGGUCUUGAUUUCCAUUUUAAAUAUUUAAUAUAUAUACAUAUCCUAUGACUCAACUGACAUUCAUAAACAUACUCAUGAAAAGACACUGUAUAAAGAUGCUCAAAGCAUCUUUUGUAAGAGCCCCAAAGUGGAAGGAACCCAGAUGUCCAGCAAGAGCAGAAAAGAUAAAUUGUGGAAUGUGGCCAGGCGUGGUGGUGCAUGCCUGUAGUUCCAGCUACUUGGUAGGCUAAGGCAGGAGAAUUGCUUGAGGCCAAGGCUGCAGUGUGCUAUGAUCAUGCUGUGAAUAACCACUGCACUCUGGCCUGGGAAACCUGGCAAGAUCCCAUAUCAAAGAAAAAACAAAUUGCAGAAUGUUCAAAUACUAAACAACAAUGAAAAAUUACAGAUAUGUGAAUUACAUAAAUGAAUCUCAUAAACAUAUGUUGAACAAAAGAAGCCGACACAAAAUAUUUAUAUAUACUUAUAGUUCAAAAACAAGGCAAAAUCCAUCUGUGGUGUUAGAAUAGUGGUUACAUUUGGGGAGAUAAAAGAAUAGUAAUUGGGAGAGGUGUGGAGGGACACAUGGUGUUUUAUUUCUUAAUUUGGGUUUGUAAUGAUAUAGUGGUAUGUUGACUUUUUACAAACUUUGCAUUUGUAGAGUUGUGUACUAAUUAUUUGUGUAUUUUUCUAUGUGUGUUUUAUAUAUAAACAGAAAAGUUUAAAAAAUCUUAAAUUGUAAUACAGAAAUGAUUUCUUCCCAUAACACAUUAAAAAUAGUUCAUGAAGAAAAAAA